CCCGUAAUCUACCCAGUUUUCAUAUCCAAAACGGAUAUCUGCGUUAAUUUUGGAGCUAAUACGUGCACCAACGUACCGCUAGCAAUAGUGGUAUGCACUUGUUAGUAUAAGGCCGACUGGGGCAACCCGAUUGGUGACUCUGAACAAUUUUUGCGGAUCGCAUGGUCUUGUACCGGCGACGUACUGGUCGAGCGGGUGCCCUAUCAACUAUUGAUGGAAGUCUAUGUGUCUUCCAUGGUUGUAACGGGUAACGGAGAAUCAGGGUUCGACUCCGGAGAGCUAGCCUUAGAAACGGCUAUCACAUCCAAGGAAGGCAGCAGGCGCGUAAAUUACCCACUCUCAAUUCGAGGAGGUAGUGACUAUCAAUAACGAGACAGAUCUCUUUGAGGUCUGUCAUUGAAAUGAGCACAACUUAAAGACUUUAACGAAGUCUAUGGGAGGGCAAGUCUGGUGCCAGCAGCCGCGGUAAUUCCAGCUCCCAACGUGUAUAUCGUCAUUGCUGCGGUUAAAAAGCUCGUAGUUGGAUCUUAGCUUAUGACAGUAGUUCACCAUGUGUGAUACUGCGUGUCUGAGCUGUUUCGCCGGUUUUCCUUGGUUUCGGCCUUGGUGACUGGUGUUGUAACUUUGAUUAAAUCAAUGUGAUUAAAACAGGCGUUUGCUUGUAUGCUUUAUCAUGGAAUAAUAGAAUAUGACUUCGGUCCAUUCUGUUGGUCUUGGGAUCGAAGUAAUGAUUAAAAGGAACAACUCGGGGGCAUCCGUAUCGCUGCGUGAGAGGUGAAAUUCUUGGACCGCAGCGAGACGACCUAUUGCGAAG
RNAcentral lists this ribosomal RNA (814 nucleotides) under Pristionchus americanus. RNAcentral describes it as "SSU rRNA". It matches the Rfam family "Eukaryotic small subunit ribosomal RNA", at positions 109 to 950 of the family's 1831-position model. Lineage: Eukaryota; Metazoa; Nematoda; Chromadorea; Rhabditida; Neodiplogasteridae. The record is from RNAcentral.